UUUUAAAUGGACACUGAAAUAAAGAUGAGGACAUCAUGUUGAAGUAGAAGUCUUUGUACACCAGUUUCUCAAAUGUGUGCUCUAGGCCAUUAAAGACCAGGCGAGAUACGUGGAAGCAUUUACAGCAUUGUGUCCAAGUUCGGCUGGGAUCUAGUCUCCUCUGUUAGUGCUGCCCUCCUGUGUUCGAGCAGUGGAAUGACAGGCUGGAUUGCGUGCAUCUAUCUACUACACACUUCCAGGGGACUGUACCAUUGAUUGCCAGACAUUAUCGCUCUUGGUCUUGGACUAUAUAUGUGUUUUUUUUGAAAUUCUCACCUGGAUGUCCAAGAAACUGAAGUAUUCUGUGAUACCCUCUUGGAGAUGGGGGCUUUUCAGAUCUGGGGUCCUACA
Long non-coding RNA from Mobula hypostoma (lesser devil ray), 390 nucleotides. RefSeq lists it as uncharacterized. The record is from RefSeq and is a predicted model, not a curated record. NCBI's taxonomy places the organism in Eukaryota, Metazoa, Chordata, Chondrichthyes, Myliobatiformes, Myliobatidae. The transcript is spliced from 3 exons.